This is a long non-coding RNA of Amphimedon queenslandica, 367 nucleotides long. RefSeq lists it as uncharacterized. The record is from RefSeq and is a predicted model, not a curated record. The transcript has 3 exons. Lineage: Eukaryota; Metazoa; Porifera; Demospongiae; Haplosclerida; Niphatidae.
AUAUCAGAACCUGCCAGGAACUGAGAGAGGGGGACCUGGUUACUGAAGAGAGGAAUGGGCUCAUUAUAAAGAAUGGAUUGAAUAAAAACGUUAACAUAUGAGAGAGGAAUGAAUGAAAAUAGAAGAAUCCUUCUUCUCUAUCAACCACUCCAGCAGCUGCAAUGGUAAUGGCUCAGGCACAGCAGCAGUCCAAUUCAGAUUAUUGUCCAUCUUCAAAACGACUCUCGACUCCAUCUUCAACAAAAAGUGACAAACCAUCUUCUGUUCCUCCUAAUCGUCCUAAUUCAGUUGGUCCUAUUACUGUUAAUGGUCCUGGACCAUCUAAUUCUAGCUCUCCUAGUGUGUACCUCCUAGACAACAGCAUGAU